Molecule: RNA transcript, 3660 nt
Organism: Bombus terrestris (buff-tailed bumblebee)
Lineage: Eukaryota; Metazoa; Arthropoda; Insecta; Hymenoptera; Apidae
Gene: Yeti
Gene name: craniofacial development protein 1
Exons: 4
Source: RefSeq, a predicted model, not a curated record
GGCGCUCGAAGAGCAAGUAAAUAUGGCUGGCAAGAUGCAUCGAACGCAUUUGCGAAUCGUGAGUCGAUUUGUAUUCUUCGGUUGUUAAUUUUUCGUGACUUUCUCACGUGUGGUAAUGUUUCAUUUGUGUGUUUCUAAAAUAGUAAUAAAUUUCAUUCAAAGUUUCUUAGUAUACAACGAUUAAGCGGCGAACUACGAAAUAAAGAUAACGUUUCGAAUAUUGUAACGAACGUUCCGGAAGGCAGCUCAUCGUGUAACUGAAUUUUUAGCACGAUCGGUCGUGUUUUUGAGAAAAUAAUUAUCAUAAAAGUAAAGUUUUAAUUAUAUAAGUAUGACUGAGGAACAUCAAUUGCCUUCUGACUCUGAUGAAGAUGAUGAAGAUUAUGUUCCUGAUGGUGCAGACAGUGAGCCUGUGUCUGAAGUAGAAUCUGAAGGUGAUGCGGAAAGUGGUCCUGAGGAUGAAAAUGAUGAAAACAAAAGAGAAACAACAAAGAGAAGAGGAAGAAAAAAGAAAGUCAUAAAGUCUAAAAUUAAGAAGCACAGAAGAACAAGAAAAAAAGUAGAAGAUGAAGUUGAUGAAAAGCUAGAAGAGGAAGAAGUAGAAAAAGGAUCAAAAGAGAAAAAACAACUUACAGAAGAAGAAGAGAAAAAGAGAGCUGACUCUCUUUGGGCUGACUUUAUGAAGGAUACAGCAACGGUACCUAAAUCUAAGCCACAAAGCGCGUCAAAUAAAUCAAAAGAGAAAUCACCACCCAUAGAAAAGCCAAAAGUAGAAGAAAAAGUAAAGAUAACUAAGGUAUUUGAAUUUGCUGGUGAAGAAGUGAAGGUUGAAAAAGAAGUCUCGAUAGACUCUGCAGAAGCAAGACUAUCUUUAUCCUCUGCUGAAAAUUCUGAGAAGACAGGAAACCCUGGUCCUCCUGCAGGAAGAGGAUCCGGAAGGGGUAAAGGUUUUAAACGGGCUGGUUUGGGAGGUAUUUCUUCUGUCCUUGGUCAAUUAGGAAAAAAAACGAAAAUUAGUACUUUAGAAAAGUCCAAGCUGGAUUGGGACAAUUAUAAGAAACAAGAAAAUUUAGAGGAAGAAAUUAGUACUCAUAACAAAGGUAAAGACGGAUAUUUAGAACGUCAAGAUUUCUUACAGAGAGCAGAUUUGAGACAAUUUGAAAUUGAAAAGCAGUUACGUAAUGCGAACAGACGCAGUACACGGUGAAUUUAUAUUUUCAUGUAUACGUAUCUUUUCCCUAACAAUGAGAACUAGGGAUGGUAUUGAGAUAAAUACCUUAUUAGACUUGCCAAUUGUCGGCGCUUAUAGCACCUAUUUAAUCGAAUUGUUUAAACUCUUAUUAAAUAUCUCAUGCCAUAUGUAAAAAUGUGAUUGCCUCGCUUGGCUUGACAAUCAGCUGGAUCUGUUUAAGAAGCGGUUGAGAGCCAAUUCUGUGAGAAGAGACUGAUCAUUCCAAUGUAUUGAAGAUAACAUAGUACGUUACGUAAUAGUUUAAUUUACCAUCCGCGAGCUUCGUCUCGAUUCAUUAUAUCACAGAACUUCGCAUCGAAGCAGGAUGUUUGAAGCUUGGUGCUUCAGAGACCGACGAUAUACAUAUAUUUUAACAAUAAACAAACUCCAGAGAUGUUUUUUAUUUCGUUUCAAUGGAGGAAGGAUGAUUGAUGCAGUAUAAAUAGUAUAAAUCAAUCUUUUAUCUUUAACCAAAUUAAUUAAAUGCACCGAAAAUAAAAAAUGUAUGAUCAUCGGUAUAAGUAUACCAACGACUCGAACACUGGAACAAGAAUAUCACGCUAACAAAAUGAAGUUGUUCUUGCAACUUGCUAAAAAAAAACCAGCAAGAAAUCUGCCGAAAAACGACCGAAAGAAAAGGGAGAAACGAAAGAGCACGAAGAAACUUGUUCGAGUCGUGAGCUUCUCCAAAAAAGGGUUCCUUUUAUCGAUGCGUUAAACGUGGCCAUGAAAAUGUCUCUGACAGCGUCUCUGACAGUAAAAUUGAAUUAAAAUCCACUUUGUGACUUAUCACGAUGGCGGAAUCAUGGCGGAAGCAAGCAAAUACUCGCUGCGGGUCGAAUUAAUUAACCGACAGGUUGAGUAGGUAAUCGGUUUUGAAUGAAGAUGUCCGUGAAACGCGAGUCACAAAUUUUUAAGUACCGGAGGGCACGUUGCUUUUUCUCGAGCGGAUCGCAACCGCGAUCUCGAAGGUGUCGCCGAUGUCGUAAAACCGAAUUAUGAUACACCGUGCGAUGAAGAUAAAAGAAGAGGGCGAAAGAGGAAGCCGCGCGAAGCGGAGGUGGAACGGUGCGUGGAUUGUUGAACGUGUGUGCAAAACGGCAGCAGGAUUAUCGACGCCAGUCUGGCGGCCGUUAGUUGUGGCCUUGCCAUCGGCAGUUUAUUCACGAACCGGAAUAUCUGUUCGACCGUUCCUUCGGCAACCUCCAUACGUUUCAAAACACCUCGAGCGAGCCUCUCUUCUUUUGCCGAGAGAGAGUGCACUCGUUACUUUCCCGAUUCCUUGACGAAACGAUGCGUGUGCAUACACGGCGAGAUCAUUUCGAUCGACGGAUUAAGUACCAUGCUGUUAUGGAACUCGUCUUUGUAAAAUAGAUAGAGCCGGUCUGGAGAUAGUUUCGUUGAUGUUUUUGAUGGUAGUUGUAUAUAUGCAUGACGAUAUAAAAGAAGUUUUGUCAGCUUGUUUUUAAAGAAUUGUUCAACGAAAUAAGAAAUAUGUCGUUUAUCAAUAAUUUAUCGUUUUAUUAUAAUUAUCUGCGAAGUACGAUAAUGACGAAAUGGCCAUCUCUAGCUGCUUUACAAAUGCGUGCCCUUUCAGUGACAAUUUUUAUAACAUUUUCACGUAAUUCCUGUGUUAUUUGUUCAUUUUUCUGUCGACAAUAAAUUUCCUAAAUUUUUCAUUGUUCGAACAACGAUGGUCGAACGAUAAUAAAACUUGUUGUAAUUUUCCUUCUGUUUGCACAACGAAUAAUUAAUUUUUUAAUAAAUUGUUUAAAGAUAAGUUUUUAUCGCCAUAACAAGUUAUUGAGGCAUCGAAUGUUGUACGAUAAAAUUCGAUGGUAUGUAGUACGCGAUUGUUACCAUAAAGCUGUCAUCACACCAAUAGAAGACAAAUGUAGAAUAAGGUAGAGUUCUAUUUAAGUGCUUCGUCUUUACAUUUGUUAAAUUUUGUUUUAUAAAACUCUGAUAGAAGACUGAAUAUCAGAAGAUAAUGUUAAUACUGUAGCAACGACGAGGAACGUCCAUUAGGGUCUUAUAAAAAAUAAUUGUAUUAUGGUAUAUAGAUAUCGAGAGUGCUUUGUUUCUCAUUAAACAAUUUGAGGGAAACGAUCGACCUUCUUCCUCAUUUUUGUUUAAAUGCCCGUGGCAAUAAAUGAUAAUAGGUCGUUAUUCAUCAUAAACGUGUCCAUCAAUAAAACGUUAAUCAUAUGCUUGGUUAUAAUGGCGAUCUGGAAGGAAAUUAUUUGAAUAUAUUAUAUCGAUGAAAAAUAAUUUGAUGUGAUGAAUGUGAAUUAUAUUCGUUAUUUUCUUGCUUGUUUGUCGUGUCAAUAUACGUGCAUACGUGGUAAGAUUAGCACGACCGUUGAACCAAUUAUUUAUAUUUGAAGAAGAUAAUAAAUGUUAUUAAAGGUGUUAUUUUGUACGAUAAA